AGAAUCAACGCUGGCGGCGUGCCUAACACAUGCAAGUCGAACGAGAAAGUGGAGCAAUCCAUGAGUAAAGUGGCGACCGGGUGAGUAACACGUGACUAACCUACCCUCGAGUGGGGAAUAACAUCGGGAAACCGAUGCUAAUACCGCAUAACAUCGCAAGAUCAAAGCAGCAAUGCGCUUGAGGAGGGGGUCGCGGCUGAUUAGCUAGUUGGUAGGGUAAUGGCCUACCAAGGCUUAGAUCGGUA
This 245-nucleotide ribosomal RNA is filed under the name uncultured bacterium. RNAcentral's name for it is "partial small subunit ribosomal RNA". It matches the Rfam family "Bacterial small subunit ribosomal RNA", at positions 26 to 285 of the family's 1533-position model. The record is from RNAcentral.